Saccostrea cuccullata (small rock oyster) is the source of this 755-nucleotide long non-coding RNA. RefSeq lists it as uncharacterized. The transcript is spliced from 3 exons. NCBI's taxonomy places the organism in Eukaryota, Metazoa, Mollusca, Bivalvia, Ostreida, Ostreidae. The record is from RefSeq and is a predicted model, not a curated record.
CAGGAUUAUUACGGUAAAAAAGAGAUGGUGCGGGGCAAUCAUAAUUAUUUCUAAGCUUUUUAUUCCGUCAUUGCAAAGUACCAUAGGUUAUUUAUUUGAAAUCAGGAUGACAAAAUGCUCUUAUAAUUUUCAAUAGUAUUAAUAAUAAUAAUUAAUAAUCAGCAAGAUUUGUUGUUUCACUUCCAUUUCGAUACAGAAUCUAGCAAAGCAUUUUGAGCUCAAUUUAUUUACAGAACUUUUUUUUUGUCAGGAGAACAAUGGUAAAAUACAGCAACAUGGAUUAAAACACAUUCUACGUUUCAGGUUACUGCGCUAUAUAUAAACAUAGGUAACCCGGAUAAUUAUAACCAGGUGAAGGCUACCUCAGACACAUUUAAUUUGAACCGCAAGGGAAGGAAAAACUCAUCUUAUGUGGAACUAUGAAAGGCUAUAUCUUUGGUCUAGUGGCAGAAUGAUGAUUUUGUAAGGAGAAAUGGAAAUAUAUGUGGAUUCCUGUCCCCAGAACAUCACGGAUGUUUUAGAGUCGUCCUCCAGGCUGGGAUGUGGUCAGGAUAAGUACGGGAACGAUCAGUAUCUCUGUAUCCCUAACACAGACAAAACAGGACUCAUAGAACUGUGUUACAAUGGAACCAUGGGAUUAAUAAAAAGAGGCAACUGUUUGGAAACCGAUGGAGAAAAUCUUCACUGGAACAACUGCCUUGGAUUUUUAUCAGGUUGUCCUGAAAAGGAAUAUCGAAGCAAUGAAAUAUACAAAU